Molecule: long non-coding RNA, 2451 nt
Filed under: Mus musculus (house mouse)
Lineage: Eukaryota; Metazoa; Chordata; Mammalia; Rodentia; Muridae
Description: long non-coding RNA chr6:40098721-40101172
Source: RNAcentral
UCUCAAUCUGCCUGGAUCAGGGCCUACAACUAAGGUAGAGUAGCCUGGUGAGGAUUCGGGGUGCCACUCACUGGUGAAACACUUGCACAUGACAUGUGACACUUUCUCCUCAGUGUGCAAAAAUCAAUCAUCAAUCAGUCCCUCAGCCAUUGAGGGUGUGGAGUGUGUGUCAGGUGGUAAGAAGAUGAGGCUGUUGUGUGUGAAGACAUCCCUUGCCCCUAUUCUCCAUAGAACAUUGCCCCCCACCCCCUCACAGCACUUUUCGGUCUGAGCUAAGAAAAUUUGAAUAGUAGAUUAGUCUUCUGGCUUUUCCCCUUUUUCUGGUGUCGAGUUUUAAAAAUUCUCACUUGUAUUUUGCCAUAUCUUUCCCAGCCCCACCCCUUGUUGAGGGAGGAGGUAAGUCUUCAUUUGGAAUUCUGAAGAGCAAGCUGCCAAAUAGCUUCUGGAAGGUUGAAGUGCAGCGGGUCUGAAUGCUGCUUUUUAUGGGGUGUUAAGUUUAGUCAGGCUCUCUGCGGGUAGCUAACCACUGGUAAAUGUUAAAGAGAGAGCCCUCCAAGAACCGCUGUUUAAAAGUCACUUGUGGUAGGCAAUACUAAUGCAGCAGGAAUAAAGGACACUAGCAUCUUUGAAAAGUCCUGCUACCAAGACUGAACGAUCUGUCUUCUCAUCUCUCUCCUCACAGCCUCAGACCAUUCACAAGAUAUGACUAGCAACAGGAAGUUCUGUGGGUAACAUAGGAGAUGCAUCCAUAGAAGCAUGCAACAUUUCAUAUUGAGAUAACGCCACACAUAUAGCUUUUUCAACCUUCUUGUUUGAAUUAUGAUCAUCCUUUCACAAAAUCAAGUAAAUUAUACAUUAUUUUAAGGCUGCAUAGUUUUUAUUUAUGCAGUUUUAUUUGUUCAAGCAGUUUACAUUUUUCCCAACUAUUUUUGGUAUUUCCUGGUAAUUAAUAGCUGGAGUACUGGUCUUUUGUUUGUUUGUUUUACAUGUGUGUGUAUAUAGGCCAGAGGAGAGCCUGUAUAUUAUCUUCAGAAAUGUCUUUUGAGAUAGGAUUUUUCAAUUGACCUGACUGGCCAACUGUCGCGUCUGCUCUCGACCAGCAAGAACGACACGACCACCAGUCCUUCUAACAACAGUUUAUUCAGUCCUGAUUCUUCUUGUUUAUAUCUCCCCCGAACCCUGGGCCUCUCAUUCCUUUUAUACUCUCAUCCACGCACAGCAGGCCACGCCGCCUCACCAGGCACGCAGCUUCAGUUAAGCAGGGCAGCAGGGGCAUAUCUCCAUCAAACUGGAUUCACCGGUAUCCUGGUGCACCUGCGCAGCUCUCAAGAUGUUUGUGGCUUAUAUGAGGAAGUCAGGUGCAAGUCAUACGACUUAGCUACAGUCCCUGGCGCCUUUGGGACUGCCGCCACACCCGCUCCUAACAGCCAACAAGAUCCAGGAUCCUCCUGCCUCUGUUGCCCCUGUUCUGGGACAAUGAGUGCAUACUCCCAUGGGUUUGAGGGAUCAAAAUUAGUCUUCACACUUGUGAGGCAAGCUCUCUCCUGAGUCUUCUUCCUGCUCCCCAUAGCACGUUUUUAAUGGCUGCAUUAUUAAUUAUUCAAAUAAUUUUUAGCACUUUUCAUUUUUCCCAGCUAUUUUUGCUAUUUCCUGGUAAUUAAUAGCUGGAGUAUUGGUCACUGUACUCUCAGUGGUCACAUAGUCAACAAAUGUUCUUUGAGUGUUGUAUACUGGGCUAGAUGUGAUAGUAGUUACUCAUUCCGGCAAAUCCAAAUUCUAUUAUGACAGAAGAUCCACAAAGCAACUAUAUAAAUAAAGGAACAAGCAUUGUUGGGUUUUGAUAAGUGUGCUAAGUAGGAAAGAUGACAAGGUAAAAAGUUAAAACAUGAACUAUAGGGAUAGGUAGGAAUAACAUUUGUAAGAAGAGAUGUUCAGGAUCAUGCUCAGUGAAGAGGGCAGGAGAGAGCCAUCCAGGGGAGAGUCAGAAGACAAGAAUUCCAACUGGGAGAACCGGCAAAGGCAAAGGCGUGCGUGUGUGUGUGUGUAUGUGUGUGUGUGUGUGAGAGAGAGAGAGAGAGAGAGAGAGAGAGAGAGAGAGAGAGAUGCCUAGGGUCAGUUGAAGCAGACAGGAUGAGGGACGUUACUGGGCGAUGACAGAAGGAAUAAGAUAAUUUGUGUGCUUGGUUCCUGGGAGCAGAAAAGCUAUGGAAGAUAUUAUCCAGAAGAACAGCAUGUUUAAAUAGAACCCUGGCCUGGGAAGGCAAGGCAAACUUGGACGGAGGGACAGUAGAUUUUACUUUUAAUUGAAGGUUUUAAAAUAUAUUUGAUAAUAUUUUUCUUCUCUUCCAAUUCCUCCCAGAUUCCCUCAAAUUCCCUACCCACCUAACUUCAUACUCUCUCUUUAACAAAAGGCCAAUGCCUCCAAGAAAAUUAAAACAGAAACCCAAUAAG